GGGAAAAUUAAUGUGCAGAUUUGACAAAUAAGUCUUAACUGGGAUCCAAUAGGCAGACUUUCAUAUUACUUGUAUUUAAUUUAAAUCAUGAUCUGAAUUGCUCUUUGGCAAAUCUUUGUUGGUCACAGUAUUCAACUGAAUUUUGUUCACUUUGUAGUGAUUAUAUUUUCUAUAUUUAUCAGACAACAUCUUUCUUCAAAAGUUUAACAUGAUUGCUUGGUUAAUUUAGAAACAAGAUCAAUGCAUCAUAACAUAAAAUGAAAAUAAGUGUAAUAGUAAAAAUGGCAGCAAAAAAGCACUAGAUUAUCUGCCUUAAAUCUGAGACGAUAUGUUGAUGUAUUGGAAUUUCUCAUAAAUAAUGUGUUCCAUAGUUGUAUAAUUGUAUAGUCGCAUGCAUGAGUGGUGUCAAUGUCACAAUACCAAUUAAAGCCUAUAAUUUACUAAAACAAUUUGAAGUUUGAUGUGUGUUUUUUUCAAGAUCUGUUAUGUAUAAUUAUAUAUACAUGUAUAUAUAUAUUGUUGAAAAGUUAACAUGCAAUAAGUUUACUGUAAUUAAGUGACAAAUAGUUUUACUGAUUUGGUUGGAUGCAUAUAUGCAGAUAUAUCAUGGUUUGUGCAGAGGACAGUAGCAAAAACAAGAGCUGUCUCCGUAGGAUGACAUAUGCCCCCGAUAAACGCUUUAAUAAAAGUUAUGAGCAUUUUUCAAAACCUAAACGCCGACCCUUAGUUCAAGGUCAAAGGGGUCAAAAUUUGUGUGUGUAUGGGAAGGCCUUGUCCAUAUACACAUGCAUACCAAAUAUGAAUGUUACAUCUGAAGCGACAUAGAAGUUAUGAGCAUUUUUUCGAAACCUAAAUGCAAAGUGUGACGGAUAGACAGACGGACAGUGCGAUCACUAUAUGCCCUCCUUUGGGGGCAUAAAAAUGUGUUUCCCAUUGUUUUGGUAAAUUAGUAAUGUAGUUAAAAGAACAGAAUCAUCAAUUAUAAAGUUAUUGAUUAUAAAGUGUUGCUGGCAUAUUUGAUGCAUUCAUUUAGCUAUAAGAAGGUCCCUGUUUUAUCCCCACUGGCACCGAGUGAGGGUUCUCAAAAUCUUUAAACAAUAUGAAUAACUACAUAUAGGGUCAAGAGCCUUGUUGAUAUGGGGGCUAAACACCUGAAAUCAAAGCGACCCAGGUUAAAGGCCGAGGCCGCAUGAGCCUGCUAUACUCUGAACAAGUAUUGUUUCUACUCAGAAAACUGGCUUAAGUGUCUUACUAAGCUUUAGACUUUGAGUUUCAGUGCAAUCAAUCUAAAAUAAAUUGGUCAAAUUAAAUAAUAAUUUGUAGAAAUAAACAUUCUGCACAAAUUCAAUUAUUUACUUUACCUGUGUGCAUGAAUCAUUUCAGUCUUGAUGGUUAGUGAACUAUGUCAAAAGCACCAUAGCUAUGAAACACUUGUAUUUUGAAUAGUGCAAUGUUCCACAGAAAUGAUGCUGAUGAUAAUUCUACACGAUGAUGAAUUAUUAGAUAUAUUUCUAAAUUCCAUUUCCACCAACAAAUCGGUUAUUCCACUACCAGUUCACAUGCUUCAUACACAGUUGAAAAUAACACUAUUUCACUCAACAACCGUGACACAUGUACUCAAUUUUUCAACUUUUCGCAAUUAAACUUGUCUCCUACUG
Molecule: long non-coding RNA, 1658 nt
Organism: Dreissena polymorpha
Lineage: Eukaryota; Metazoa; Mollusca; Bivalvia; Myida; Dreissenidae
Exons: 2
Source: RefSeq, a predicted model, not a curated record